This 254-nucleotide ribosomal RNA is filed under the name uncultured bacterium. RNAcentral's name for it is "partial 16S ribosomal RNA". It matches the Rfam family "Bacterial small subunit ribosomal RNA", at positions 524 to 776 of the family's 1533-position model. The record is from RNAcentral.
UACGUAGGGUCCGAGCGUUGUCCGGAAUUACUGGGCGUAAAGGGCUCGUAGGCGGCCAACUAAGUCGGACGUGAAAUCCCUCGGCUUAACCGGGGAACUGCGUCCGAUACUGGAUGGCUUGAGUGUGGGAGAGGGAUGCGGAAUUCCAGGUGUAGCGGUGAAAUGCGUAGAUAUCUGGAGGAACACCGGUGGCGAAGGCGGCAUCCUGGACUACUACUGACGCUGAGGGAGCGAAAGCCAGGGGAGCAAACGGG